Non-coding RNA from Solanum lycopersicum (tomato), 2535 nucleotides. NCBI's taxonomy places the organism in Eukaryota, Viridiplantae, Streptophyta, Magnoliopsida, Solanales, Solanaceae. The record is from RefSeq and is a predicted model, not a curated record.
AAAGUCGAGGAGUUGGUGUCUGAUACUCUUUUAAUAUUCUUUACUGCGCUUGCUACCGUUGGUCUUUGCAAAUGUUCAUUUGCAUGUCACAGAAAACGAGACCGAGAAUAUUGUACAACUUCUCAACAACGUCAUGGCCUUCGUAUAUUAUUUGGUUUUGACCAAAACCUAACCAUUUUUUCAACUCAAUUGCCAUAAUACUGACAUUUUCUCUCUUUCAUUAAAUUCCUAAAUAAAGAGAGAUCUUUACCCCUGAGAAAAUCAGACACAUCAUAUAUUAUAUGGCAGGUUCAAACAACAGUAGAGUCAUAACUCUUGUGACAACACCAACAUGGGCUAUUGCUGUUGUGUGUUUCAUUUUAAUUACUAUUUCCAUUCUUAUAGAACAUGUCCUUCAUCUCUUAGCUAAGAAGAGGAGGAAGUCUUUGAUUCAAGCACUAAACAAUAUCAAAUCAGAGUUGAUGCUUUUGGGAUUUAUCUCUUUAUUGCUGAAUGUUCUCCAAAAGCCUAUUGCCAAAAUUUGUAUUCCAAAGGGUGCUGCUCAGACUUUUCUUCCUUGCCAAAGCUUCACAACUGAUGAUGUUGAGGAGGAGUCAAACUGUGAACAACAGGGAAAGAAAUCUUUAAUGUCAAGAGCAGCUUCAGCUUUUAAUAUUUGCUCUUGCUUUCUUUCAUAUUCUUUCUUGCAUCCUCACCUUCAGCCUUGGAACACGUAAAAUGGUCAGAUGGAAAUUUUGGGAGGCAGAAACAACAACCUUAGAUUAUCAAUUUUCACAUGAUCCAAGGAGGUUUCAACUAAUUCAUCAAACAUCAUUCGGAAAGAGGCAUCUCAAUUUUUGGAGUGAACACCGCUUUCUACGUUUCCCAGUUUGUUUGUUGAGGCAAUUUUAUGGAUCAGUAUAUAAAGUAGACUACUUAACUCUCCGGCAUGGAUUCAUAAUGGCACAUUUUGCUGAAGGAACAGAGUUUGAUUUUCACAAGUAUAUAAGAAGAGCUUUAGAUAAAGAUUUUCAAGUUGUCGUGGCAAUUAGCCCAUGGAUUUGGACCUUUUCUAUGCUCUUCAUAUUCUUCAAUGCAAAUGUGUUCCAUAGCACCUAUUGGCUUCCUUUCAUUCCUCUAGCGAUGUUAGUGGCUGUUGGAACAAAAUUACAAGGCAUAAUCACAAAAAUGUGUUUGGAUAGCAAUUAUAAGUCAAGUGUUAUUAGAGGAAAUUUAGUGGUUAAACCUGAAGAUCAAUUCUUUUGGUUUGGAAAACCCAAACUUCUUCUUCUUCUCAUGCAUUUCAUCCUCUUUCAGAACUCGUUUCAGUUGGCAUUUUUUGCAUGGACAACGUACAAUUAUGGGUUAAAUUCUUGCUUCCACCAUAAAACAGUAGAUAUUGUGACAAGGCUUGUUAUGGGAGUGCUUGUUCAUUUUCUUUGUGGAUAUGUCAUAUUGCCUUUAUAUGCUCUCCUUACUCAGAUGGGAACCAAAAUUAAAAGUAGUGUUUUGACUGAUGAAAUGAUUAGUAGGCUAAAAAGAUGGCAAGAAAAAGCAAAGAGGAAAUUGGCUAAAAGAAGCAAUUACUUGUUAGCACAAAAUUUAUUAUCUUUAAAUAUUUCACCAUCUUUUGAAACUUCAUUGGAUGUUACAUAUUUAUCAACCGAUACUGAAAAUGAUGGAGAAAUUGUAGAUGAUCAGAGACAAAUUCAGCAACACACAGAAUUUGGAUCUUUUGGUGGAUUUCACUUGAGUAAAUCUAGAGCAGCACAACAUUAGAAUGUUUAUAGUGUUACUUUUUAAAGGUAAAUUUAAAAUUUAAAGUAUAUAUAUAUGUUUAGAAUGAACGCAAUCUUAUUAUUUGUAAACAAUCUAUUAUCAAGCGACAACCAUAAUAGUAUGGAGGGAAAGUGAUCUUAUUAUUUUUAGUAUCUAAUGAUAAAACAUAUAACAUAUAAAAUAUAUUUAUGAUUGAUUAGAUUCCUCGCAAGUGAAUUUGGACUACAUAUCACUUAAUUUUUUUUUUAUGGGUCGAACUGAGUUGAACUUAUAAAAUGAGCUUUUAUUAAUAAAUAGGUAGGUAAAUAACUCAUCCAAACGUGAAUGUUUUGAGUUUGAUGUUGUCGUCCCUAAUUUCAGUUUAUCUGAAACACUUUUCUUAUUAGUAUGUUUUAAAACGAAUGACAUUUUUUUUAAUUAUUAAGAACAAUUAACUUUAGAAUUUUCCUUUUAAUGAAAUGAUUUUUAUAGAAAUAAUGAAGCUAAUAUGUUAGAUCAUUAUUUAUCAUUAUUAUUAUAAUCUUGGUAGUUAAUCAAAUAAUGACAGAGAAAAUAUAUUGAGUUACACUAACUUCUUAUACAUAGUAUAUAAUCAUUGUUGAAAGGUAAUUUUAAACAUAAUUUAGAAUGAAAAAUAGAUGACUGAAUUUUAAUCGUAGUGUGUUUUUCGCGUAUAGGCUCGGACUGGUAUAAAAAUUCAUAUUAAAAUCAAACCAUAAGAACCAAAUUAAUUAUAUUUACGUAUAAGGAUAUCAAAUUACUUAAUUCAAAAAAAAA